GCCCUCUGUGAGUGGCUUCAUUCCACUCUGGGGUCUGCCGUCUUGGUUCCUAGGUUGCUAGGAAAGGACCACGAGGGGGCCCGCUGCAGAGAACGGAAGAGCAGCCAGGACCAGUCGGCUCCAUACACCAGCGAGUCGGGCAAUGUGUGAGAUGUCAGGACCGUCGCCUCCUGCCUCUCCUCUGGAGUGAGAGAUGGGAGAACCCAGGAAACACAACAUCACCCAGAGCCUCUCCCCAACCUGUCACACCUGACAGGGAGACUCCAAGAACAGCCCCUCACAGGUCAGCAAGUGUUUCCUGAGGAGCCGUUGUGUCAUGCAAAGGAACCAGCAAGACCUGGGCAUAUGUUGGAGAAGAAACAGACCGUCAUCUUGCAGUGCACACGCCUGUGUGCCUCCAAGAGAAGCAUCAAGCGGGGCUACAGAACCUCACUUGAUGGUGAAGAAUACGGCAAAAGCCAGAGAGGGGGAAAGACCUCAGUUAACACUUAAAACCAAAGAACAAAGGAGUUUUAGCCAGCUGGGAAGGAAGGGGAUGUCUGAGGAACAGGCAGCAUGUGUACAGCAGAGGUGAGAAAGUCCAAGGCUCGCACGGGGAACCACAAACAGGCAGCCAUGGCACUGUCAGUGAGUGACAGUGGGCUGGAGCGUCCCAAGCAUGCAGGGUCCGGCACGCCCUGUUUCAGAGUCUGGAUUCUGGCUUGGAAAGGAGCCACUGACAAGGUUAAGUGAGCAGUUUCUUUAUAGAAGUUGCUACGGCAACUGGAAAGAGGCCACAACUGCCUCCCAGAGCACACAGCAACAGAGGGAAUGACGAGGCGUGGCCAAACCCGAGGCGAUCUGGAGUCCAGGAGGCAAGGCCAGGGCUGGCAGGGGCAGUUGCAGAGAGCAAGUGGAAGGUGAGCCAGGGGCUGCAAGGCUGGGUGGCCACUUGGGCUCUGAAAGGGCUGCCAUCGCUACCUCUGAAGUACAGGGAUUGAUGCCAGCAGUGACCGGAAUCAGAACCAGAAUGAGUGCUGAUGGAAGAAGGGCUGAGGGCAGAACAGGACCGCACUGGAUUACAAAACGUGCCGAGGUUGUAUGGGCCUGGGCCGGGGAGGCCCAACCCUGGGCCCAGGGCUUCAACUGGGCAGAGGUGGCUCCGAGGAGGAGUGAGAUGCUGAAUGUUCAGAGACAGCCACAGGGGCCCUCGAGCAGCAUGUGUGGGGCGACCCUCGGGAGGAAGCCCCUGGGGAGGCCGUUACUGUCCCUUGGGAGGUAGCGUCACAGGGCAGGCAGGACCUCCGCUAGUCUUUCAUCCAGCAAUCGCUCAACACGUCCACUCGGGCCAGCAGGACCUCUUCUACAGCUUAGGAAAAGGUAAUAAGGCAGAGUCUAAGCCCUCAGAGAGCCACAGCCUGGGAAAAAGACAGCGAAUGAGUGGACGGAAGACACUGUUGCGACCCCAAGAAUGGGAGGCCCUUUCUGAUUAGCCACAGGCCAACGUUUCCUCCCUCUUUUUAUUUUCAAGACAGGACCUCACUCUGUCGCAUAGGCUGGAGUGCACUGACCUGGGCUCUGUCUUCCUGCCUCACCUCCUGAGUAGCUGCGACCAUCAUGCCCCCUAGUUUUUUCUAUUUUUUGUGGCCACGGAGUCUCACUAUGUUGUCCAGGCUAGUCUUGAACUCCCGGCUCAAGCAAUCCGCCCACCCUUCCCAGAGUGCUGUGACUGCGAGUGUCAGCCACCGCACCCAGACAAUACAAAUUGUUUUAAAAUUAGGCCGGGCGCGGUGGCUCACACCUGUAAUCCCAGCACUUUGGGAAGCCAAGGCGGGUGGAUCACAAGGUCAAGAGAUCGAGACCAUCCUGGUCAACAUGGUGAAACCCCGUGUCUAUUAAAAAUACAAAAACUAGCUGGGUGUGGUGGCAUGCACCUGUAGUACCAGCUACUCGGGAGGCUGAGGCAGCAUAAUUGCUUGAACGUGGGAGGUGGAGGUUGCAUGAGCCAAGAUCGUGCCACUGCACUCCAGCCUGGGUGAAAGAGCAAGACUCUGUCUCAAAAAAAAAAAAUUGUUUAAAUUAAAGAUACAGGCUGGGUGCAGUGGCUCACGCCUGUAAUUCCAGCACUUUGGGAGGCCGAGGCAGGUGGAUCACAUGAGGGCAGGAGUUUGAGAGCAGCCUGGGAAACAUGGUGAAACCCCAUCUCUACUAAAAGCACAAAAAUUAGCCAGGCAUGAUGGCGCAUGCCUGUAGUCCCAGCUACACAGGAGCCUGAGGCAGGAGAAUCCCCUGAACCUGUGAGGUGGAGGUUGCAGUAAGCUGAGAUCACCCCACUGCACUCCAGCCUGGGCGACAGAGCAAGACUCUGUCUCAAAAAAAUACAUAAAUAAAGUUAUGAAAAAGGCCAGCCGAGCACAGCGGCUCACGCCUGUAAUCCUAACACUUUGGGAGGCCGAGGCGGGUUGAUCACCUGAGGUCAGGAGUUCAAGACCAGCCUGACCAACAUGGUAAAACCUCGUCUCUACUAAAAAAUACAAAAAUUAGCCAGGCGUGGUGGCACACACCUGUAAUCCCAGCUACUCCGGAGGCUGCAGCAGGAGAGUUGCUUGAACCCGGAAGGUGGGAGUUGCAGUGAGCUGAGAUUGUGCCAUUGUAUUCCAGCCUGGGAGACAGAGCAAGACUCCGUCUCAAAAAAGAAAGAAAAAGAAAAAAAGGCCUAUACAGAGUACCUGACAAAACUGGCCUGGAAUGUUGAACUCUCAGACCUGUCUUAGUUCACCUCUUCAACUUUAAGAACUGAAGGCUGGAUGCAGUGGCUCAAGCCUGUAAUCCCGACACUGAGGACUGAGUUGAGGCAGGAGGACUGCUUGUGUCCAGGUGGUCCGGGCUGCAGUGAGCUCUGACUCCACCACUGCGCUCCCACCUGGGUGACAGGACACAAGACCCUCUCUUUAAAAAAAAAACUAAAAACUCACCAUAGCCAAAAGGUGAAAACAACCCAAAUGUCCAUCAGAGGAUGAACAGACAGAAUGUGGUCCAUCAUUACCUUCUUAAAAAGAGAAUUCUGACACAUGCUCCAACAGGGGUGAACCUUGAAAACGUUAAGCUAUGUAAAGAAGCCGGAUAUAAAAAGACACACGAUUCUACUUCCAUGAAAUAUCUAGAAAAGGCAAAUCCCCAUAGACAGAGUAAACGGAGGUUAUAGAGGCUGGGGGAGGGAUGUUUGGGGUGAUAGAAAAGUUUUGAAAAUAAGUAGCAGUGAUGAUUGCACAGUAUUUUGAAUGUCUUCUUUUAUUUUUUAUUUUUUUUGAGACGGAGUGUCACUGUCGCCAGGCUGGAGCGCAGUGGCGUGAUCUCGGCUCACUGCAACCUCCGCCUCCCAGGUUCAACCGAUUCUCCUGACUCAGCCUCCCAAGUAGCUGGGACUACAGGCGCCCGACCUCAGGUGAUCCGCCCGCCUCAGCCUCCCAAAGUGCUGGGAUUACAGGCGUGAGACACUGCGCCCGGCCUUGAAUGUCUUUAAUACCACUAAAUUGUGGGCGGCAAGCCACCCAGGCACCGAGGCAAGAGACCGAGGACAUGAGCUGUUCCAGUAAAAUAAAAUAUAAAACAAGAAUAGUUAUACCAGAUAUAGAUCUUAGAUAAUGAUUAUAUAUGAAUAUCAUUAAUCAUUAGUUGGUAGUAAUUACUCUUUAUCCCAAUAUUAUAAUAAUCCUCGCUCUACAAUCAUAACCUAGGAAAAACCAGGCCAUACAGAGAUAGGAGCUGAGGGGACAUAGUGAGGUGUGACCAGAAGACAAGAGUGCGAGCCUUCUGUUAUGCCUGGACAGGGCCACCAGAGGGCUCCUUGGUCUAGCGGUGACGCCAGCAUCUGGGAAGACGCCCGUUGCCAGGCGGACCAUGGUCUAGCGGUAGCGAAAAAUGUGAAGGAAAAACACCCGCUACUUAGCAGACCUGGAAAGGGAGUCUCCCUUUCCCCGGGGGAGUUUAGAGAAAACUCUGCUCCUCCACCUCUUGUGGAGGGCCUGACAUCAGUCAGACCUGCCCGCAGUUAUCCGGAGGCCUAACCGUCUCCCCGUGAUGCUGUGCUUCAGUGGUCACGCUCCUUGUCCGCCUUCAUGUUCCAUCCUGUACACCUGGCUCUGCCUUCUAGAUAGCAGUAGUCAAUUAGUGAAAGUACUAAAAGUCUCUGGUAUGCAGAAAUAAUAGCGUAAGCUGUCUUUCUCUCUCUCUCCUCUCCCUCUCUGCCUCGGCUGCCAAGCAGGGAAGGGCCCCCUGUCCAGUGGACACGUGACCCACGUGACCUUACCUAUCAUUGGAGAUGACUCACACUCUUUACCCUGCCCCUUUUGCUUUGUAUCCAAUAAAUAACAGUGCAGCCAAACAUUCGGGGCCACUACCGGUCUCUGCACAUUGGUGGUAGUGGUCCCCCGGGCCCAGCUGUCUUUUCUUUUAUCUCUGUCUUGUGUCUUUAUUUCUACACUCUCUCGUCGCCGCACACAGGGAGAAGCCCACUGACCCUGUGGGGCUGGUCCCUGCACUAAAUUGCACACUUAAAGUGGCUAAAAUCAUGCAUUUUAUGUUACAUAAAUUUUAUCACAAUUUUUACAAAAGCAGUUAAAAGGCAGGAGACCCAGUGUGUGCCCAACAGACAAUGCUGGAGUGUGUUUAAGAAACUCAAGCAAAGGAAAUGCAAGUCAAGGGAUUAAUGGGCAAGUUCUCCUUCAAUUAUCAAGGCUACAGAGAAAAGUAUCAAGUAUUCAGAAGUCUAGGAAACACCACCGAGGGCCUCUCCUAAGCGUCUCUCAGGAGGCAAGCUCUAUCCAAACAGGCGGUGGCUGGGAACAGCUGUCACCAGGAUGGAUGGGAGCACAACAAAUAGUCAAUUGCGAGCUGAGACUUAGGAAAAAACAGGUGGGGCAAGGACAGAAAAAUAAUAUGUUAAUGCUGUGUUCUGAGUAGGAAAAAAUGCCAUUAAGAAUGGGAAGAGAUGGCCAGGCGUGGUGGCUCAUACCUGUAAUCCCAGCACUUUGGGAGGCCGAGGCAGGCAGAUCACAAAGUCAGGAGAUCAAGACCAUCCUGGCUAACACGGCGAAACCCUGUCUCUAAUAAAAAUACAAAAAAUUGGCCAGGCAGGGUGGC
This 5121-nucleotide long non-coding RNA is filed under the name Homo sapiens (human). RNAcentral's name for it is "HSALNT0157150". The record is from RNAcentral. Lineage: Eukaryota; Metazoa; Chordata; Mammalia; Primates; Hominidae.